Molecule: ribosomal RNA, 496 nt
Filed under: uncultured bacterium
Lineage: Bacteria
Description: partial 16S ribosomal RNA
Rfam family: Bacterial small subunit ribosomal RNA
Source: RNAcentral
GAUGAACGCUGGCGGCGUGCCUAAUACAUGCAAGUCGAGCGAACAGACGAGGAGCUUGCUCCUUUGACGUUAGCGGCGGACGGGUGAGUAACACGUAGGUAACCUACCUAUAAGACUGGGAUAACUUCGGGAAACCGGAGCUAAUACCGGAUAAUAUUUCGAACCGCAUGGUUCGAUAGUGAAAGAUGGCUUUGCUAUCACUUAUAGAUGGACCUGCGCCGUAUUAGCUAGUUGGUAAGGUAACGGCUUACCAAGGCAACGAUACGUAGCCGACCUGAGAGGGUGAUCGGCCACACUGGAACUGAGACACGGUCCAGACUCCUACGGGAGGCAGCAGUAGGGAAUCUUCCGCAAUGGGCGAAAGCCUGACGGAGCAACGCAGCGUGAGUGAUGAAGGUCUUCGGAUCGUAAAACUCUGUUAUUAGGGAAGAACAAACGUGUAAGUAACUGUGCACGUCUUGACGGUACCUAAUCAGAAAGCCACGGCUAACUACGU